UUAACUAUUAAAUAGUACUCAGACGUCACUAAAUUUCAGAGUUUGGGUCCUCUGGCAGGCACUCUCCAGCCGAAGCCGGUGCUCUCACCUUGCGGUGCGCGGCCUACCAAAGCAACAGUUGGGAUAUAAGCACGGGUGGAGGUUUACGGUCACUUACUGGCACGUGAGGUUUUUCAGACCUUACCACGCGGACCGGCUCUCAUUCUAAUGAUCCUUCCGCAGGUUCACCUACGGAAA
RNAcentral lists this unclassified non-coding RNA (237 nucleotides) under uncultured fungus. Its description in RNAcentral is "sequence contains ITS1". The record is from RNAcentral. Lineage: Eukaryota; Fungi.